CCUACGGGUGGCAGCAGUGAGGAAUAUUGGUCAAUGGACGCAAGUCUGAACCAGCCAUGCCGCGUGCAGGAAGACGGCUCUAUGAGUUGUAAACUGCUUUUGUACGAGGGUAAACGCAGAUACGUGUAUCUGUCUGAAAGUAUCGUACGAAUAAGGAUCGGCUAACUCCGUGCCAGCAGCCGCGGUAAUACGGAGGAUUCAAGCGUUAUCCGGAUUUAUUGGGUUUAAAGGGUGCGUAGGCGGUCGGAUAAGUUAGAGGUGAAAUCCCGAGGCUCAACUUCGGAAUUGCCUCUGAUACUGUUAGGCUAGAGAGUAGUAGCGGUAGGCGGAAUGUAUGGUGUAGCGGUGAAAUGCUUAGAGAUCAGACAGAACACCGAUUGCGAAGGCAGCUUACCAAGCUACGUCUGACGUUGAGGCACGAAAGCGUGGGGAGCAAACAGGAUUAGAUACCCUUGUAGUC
RNAcentral lists this ribosomal RNA (460 nucleotides) under uncultured bacterium. RNAcentral's name for it is "partial 16S ribosomal RNA". It matches the Rfam family "Bacterial small subunit ribosomal RNA", at positions 338 to 795 of the family's 1533-position model. The record is from RNAcentral.